UACGAAGGUCCCGAGCGUUAUCCGGAUUUAUUGGGUUUAAAGGGUGCGUAGGCGGGUUAUUAAGUCAGUGGUGAAAGCCUACAGCUUAACUGUAGAAUUGCCAUUGAUACUGAUGAUCUUGAGUAUGAUUGAGGUUGGCGGAAUGUGUCAUGUAGCGGUGAAAUGCUUAGAUAUGACACAGAACACCGAUUGCGAAGGCAGCUAACUAAGUCAUGACUGACGCUGAUGCACGAAAGCGUGGGGAGCAAACAGG
Molecule: ribosomal RNA, 253 nt
Filed under: uncultured bacterium
Lineage: Bacteria
Description: partial 16S ribosomal RNA
Rfam family: Bacterial small subunit ribosomal RNA
Source: RNAcentral